UUAGUUGUAACUUAAUUUAAAGUAAUUCACUGUUAAUGAAUAAAUGGACAAUCCCAACUAAA
Molecule: transfer RNA, 62 nt
Filed under: Raivuna sinica
Lineage: Eukaryota; Metazoa; Arthropoda; Insecta; Hemiptera; Dictyopharidae
Description: tRNA-Asn
Rfam family: tRNA
About the family: Transfer RNA (tRNA) molecules are approximately 80 nucleotides in length.
Source: RNAcentral